Molecule: long non-coding RNA, 365 nt
Filed under: Triticum aestivum (bread wheat)
Lineage: Eukaryota; Viridiplantae; Streptophyta; Magnoliopsida; Poales; Poaceae
Description: long non-coding RNA (TAES_LNC011517)
Source: RNAcentral
GACUGUAAACAAAUAUGAAGAAGUUGAGCAAGUGUUGCAAAAUUGUCAUAUUAUUCUAGCGACCAAGCAGAAGACGAACAAAUAUCAGAUGAUCUUUUUGCAGUGUACUUUCAGCAGCAAGAAUGAACUAGAAACAUCAACACCUUAAACUUCUUAGAUAGACAACAUUCUAGCACAAGCAUAGUUUCACAUACACUGCCAGGAAGACAGACAGAGCUAGUACAUUGGGUCCAUAACUCCAUUUCACUAAGCAACCUUGCAAAUGCUGCUGGAAUUGCUUCUGGAAUUCAAAUGAGACUCCAUCCUAUCUCACUGAGCAACCUUGCAAAUGUCCUCAUACUCAAUGGCCUUGAGAACUUUCCCAU